This 5211-nucleotide long non-coding RNA is filed under the name Nicotiana tabacum (common tobacco). RNAcentral's name for it is "long non-coding RNA (NTAB_LNC002016)". The record is from RNAcentral. Lineage: Eukaryota; Viridiplantae; Streptophyta; Magnoliopsida; Solanales; Solanaceae.
AAAAUCAAAUUAACACCCCAAACCCCAGGGGACUUGGGGCAGCAGCAGGGCAGAGAACAGACUAUCCUAGGGCAACCGCCUCCCCCUCCUGAAUUUUUCGAUCUUCUUUCUUUCAAUCUCUAAGGGACCAGCAGAGAAUUCACCUGAACAUAGGGAAAAGAGUGACGAGAGGGAGAGAAGCAGAGGGAACGAUAUAGUGAGAACGAGGGUGAGAAGGGAACGACCAGAAUUUCAAUAAAAGAAAAGGAAAAACGUUACAGAGAGGCUACGUGAGUUUGAUGAUGCACUAAAAGAGACGAACGAAAGUACUGUCCUUCAAAUUUUGGUUUUAAAAAUGGAGGUCAUCCGAGGUUGUGUUUGAUUCGAGGUUUCCGGUCUGGGUUCGUGAGCUUGAAGCAACCGUUGAUGUGCACUUGAUUUGGAGCUCUAUUGUUUAAUAUAAAAGGAAGAUUCGUCAAAGGUUUAUUCCUUCCCUUUCCUCUGUUUUUUGAUUUAUCUCCCGUGAGUUGUUUGUGUUUGUUUGGAAUCCAUGCUUUAAUUGUCAUUUUGUGAAUGACUUGCAAAUUUAUGUGUGAAUGUGAAUACAUGUUGACAUGAUUAGUAGAAUGGAGACAGUAGGUGCACGUAGAGGACAUUUCUGAUUAAAUGAACUUGGGCCAUGGGAGUUCGAACAUAAUGUUAGACUUUGGAUUUUUUUUCUUGUUGUCAUUUUAUUUUAUUUAAUUAGAUCGCUAGGAGUAUGAUAGGCCGAUAACACCUGGGUAGUCAAAUUUUAGGACUUUCUAUUUUAUUUGAGGUUAGAGGUUGUCCCGUAGUUUAUUAUUUUAUCCGAGGUAUGUCCCGUGAUGAAUGUAAUUGGAGGCUGUGACGGACAUCGUGGAGUGAGCAUUGUAUAGACUUUUAGUAUUUUCCUCUUAUUUUAUUUUCUUUUAUUAGGCGGGGACGACCUCGAACCUCUUUUAUGUUUAUUUUUGGUUUUGUAUGUUUCUGCCUCAAUUUGAGUAUUCUUUAAAGCCAACUAGAUCGUGUAUGCAACUGUGACUUUCACGGGACUCGGGGAAUGCCUAACGCUUUCUCCCCGAGUCAAAUGAACCCCCUUACCUAGAAUUUCUGGUGCAAUCAGUUUUAGAGUCAAAUGUGUUUUGAAGGAAAAUUAUUAUUUUAAAAACCCCACCUGGCACACCGAAACCAAAUGUCAGGUGGCGACUCUGAAAAAUCUUUUAAACACAAUUUUUUGUCACUUUCAAUUUGAAAACCCUUUUGAGCUUUACAAAAUCAAUUUAUCUCUUUUAAAUAGGGGUUAGUGAGGUGAAAAAAGGGGUGUGACAGUUGUGGCAGGGUGUUCAGUCGAUUAGCUAAUACCUUUUUAGUUGUCACGAUUAAUUUGCUGAAAAAAAUUGGUCUAAAAUACUCGUCAUUUUAUAAAAAUCAAGAAAGAGUUAAUUAAGUUUUUCACCUAUACCCUUUUAUUAACAAAUGUUGAGAGAGAUUAAUUAGUGAAAGCAUGAAUAAUAAUAACUUGAGAUCAAAGAAUAAAUAAGGACACUAAAAUCAAAUUAUUCUUUUAGUUAUACUCACUCCAUACCUUGUUACCGAGUCCUCUAUUGAGAUAGGCACGCCCCCAAAAUUAUUUUUAAGGUGUUGUUUUACUAAAUUACCCUUGUUAAUGGUUAUUAAAGUUAUAAUAACUCUAAUAAAUUAGCGGAGUGUUGGUACGUACUUAAUAGUUAAUACUAAGGGUAAUAUUAAAAGAAAAUAAUAAAUCUCGACUUGUUAAAAUGGACAGGUAAAAGGAAAAUUACCACAACAUGGUUCCUAGAGUUAGAAUCUUGAUUUUUGGUCGAUCUUCGUGAUGACAAACAUAAAGCAAUUUGUAUUGUUCCAUGAUCGGAUAAAAUCCCAGAAACAAAUAAGAAUAACUUUCCUCCCAAAAAAAGUUUAUGAGAGAGGAUGGCAGAGCUUUCAUCUCCUACGUGGUGACAUUACAUAAGUAAAUUUUAUUGCGUGAAUUAACUUUUGGUAUUAAUAAUCUUUUGUUUGGUAUAUUUUUGCACCCUAUGUAUUAUUAAUGCAAGUAUUAGUUAUACAACCUAUUUUGUAUUAUCACAUGUAUAACUAAUACGUACCAAACCGUGGUGUUAGCAAUACCAAGACUAUUAAUGCAUACAAUUGCAUGGUUAAAGGCAAAAUUAUUCUUAAAAACCCUUAAAGCAAAAGAAUAUGAAUGGCCUUUUUGUAAACAAUUAAUUUUCUUAAAAAUUAUGUAAUGCAUUUUAAUUUUUAAUACAUCACACCAAAUAGUGGAUAAGAAAUAAUCUCUGCAUAACUAAUACUCGUAUUAUUAACCCAUGCAUUACUAAUCUCUGCACUACUAAUACACCUUAUUCAUAAAUAUUCUUAUACACCCUACCAAACGCCCCUUAUAGUUGUUAUAAAUACAAACAAGGCCAUUGCAUUGAUUUGAGCACAUAAGGAACUUAACUCUUGUCGCUAAAUAAUGACGGGGAACGAGUUGUACAGAUAAUUUUUCUAAACGUUGUGUAUUACGCUGAAAAGAUCUUAGAGGGUUAGGAGGAAAAAUAUGUAGUUCAAACAAAAAGUGGGUGGUUGAGGGACCACGAAAAAUGUGGAAUUUAAUAAAGUUGGAAUCAUGUCGUAUUGUUUCAAGCUUUACAAACAUACGUGAAUUGCAUCAAAGAUUGGCAGGGAGCCAUGUUAGUAUCUGAAAUAUUAUUAUGUCAUUUGGAAGUUGAACUCUACAACGACGCCUCUUCUUCAUUCACAGAAUACGCCUCUUUUGAAUACUUUUUGUUGAUAUUUUUGCAACAUCACUCAAUUUUUUGAGAACUCCUUCCAUUUUGAAGACCUUAAGCUAUGCUCCUUUUUCCAUUCAACUAGGUAUCAAAUUAUAUUCAAUUUGUAAUACCAUAAAAAAAAAGUUAGGAAAGUGAGUCUUCUUUUUAAUUCUACUUUAGGUGCCGUUUGGACAUAAAACAAAUUUACUUUUUUUCCAAAAUCAGUGUUUGAUCAUAAAAUUUUUAAUUUUUCACUUCAAAAUGAAUUUUGAAAUUAUUCAAAAAUUUGAAAAACUCCAAAAAGUCAUUUUUCAAAAUUCACUUCAAAUCACUCACAAAAAUUUAAAAAUAACCAAAAAUUGAAUUCAUGUCCAAACGUAACUCUAAUUUUCAAAUAUCAUUUUCGCUUGAAUUUUCUUUUAAACUUUUUCCGGAAGUUUACAAUUCCCAUGUCCAAAAGCCCACUAAGAGUAAUAUUUGGCAGUAUAUUCACAAUUCAACUCGGAGUCGAACCGUAAUACCAUAAAAAAGUAGUAUUCUACAGGUUUCGCCAUUUUUUAUGGUGAUACAAUUUGAAUAUACUGCCAAAUUUGACUCCUAGCUGAACUGGGGAUGAACUGCCAAGUAUUACUCUUAGUAGAAUUGGAAAGAAACACUUUCGGCUAAUCGUUUUUUUUUAUUCUCUUUCUCCAAGAACUCUCCACCUUGUUCUUGGGAUGACUUGAACUCACAACCUAUUGGUUGUAAGAAGACACUUUCGGCGAAACCAGUAAUUUUUUUUUCUUUUUUCUUAUUUUUUUUAUUCCCUCCCUCCAAGAGCUCCCCACCUUGCUCUUGGUGUGACUCGAACUCACAACCUAUUGGUUGGAGGUGAAGAGUGUUCACCACUGGAGCAACUCGCUCUUGUCGACAAAACCAGUAAUUAAUUGUAUUGCCAUGCAUAGUCUUUUUCCCAAUUCUACUACGUACUUGAUGCUCAACAAUUAUUUACAGAUAACUUCCCUACAUAUCUUAGUUGAGAGCGAGAAUCUACAUGGUUUCGAAACUACCCCUGCCUUAGACACUGUAUUUCGGGACCGCUUCAUAAAAAGAAAACAAAUCUCAAAUUAAAAAUCAAAGAUUUAUAUCGUAACAACACUUGGGAUCUUUCUCAAUUAUCGUUCGAAAUUCCUAAUGAUAUUGUUAAAACCAUUCUAACGGUUAACAUUCUUGUCUGGAUGGUUGUUACCCGUUGUAUUGUAUCGUAUUAUUACUUUAAAUACGAUGUUUGUUUUGAUUGUUACUUAAAUUUUCUUGUAUCGUAUCGUUAAUCCGUCGUUACAUAACGUCGAAAUAUGAUACUUUAUGUAACAACCAAUUUGGUGUGGUCGCGUCAUUACCUUGCCUUUUUAUCUCAAUCUCACCCUUCAUUAUUAUUAAAUAAUUUUAUUUUAUCAUUUACCCUACUUUUUUAUAUAGUAAUUUUACAUUGUGUCAUAAUUUUUCUUUAUAAUAUUACAAGUUUAUUCUUUAUAUUGUUGGUGUGUGAUAUCAUGAAAUAAUGACAAACGAUACAAUCUAUCCAAAUAUUAUAUUUAUCAAAUGAUACAAUACAAUAUGAUACGUUAUAAAACGACACUUAACAACCAUCCAAACAAACUAAAUGAAGAAAAAAUGAUAUCCUAACAUGUAAUUUCAGGCAAGGGAAUCAGGUGGCAUAUCUUUUGGCGGCGGAAGCUACAAAACGGUCCAUGCAAAAGCAAAUUAAAGCAGAAAAAGUAUUGGCAAAGUAGUACAAAUCAUCUCGCACAAUACAAAUCAUCAGGUAACAUUCUAAUAUAUUAUCUGUGUGUUUCAAUACAUGACAUCUAUGAGUAGCAAAAAGGUACACCAACUUCAGUUAAUCCCAGGCACAAUAUGAAAAGCCAAUAUGGGACCUCUUCUCCUUUGUUUCACUACGAAUUAAAGGGCCGAGGGAGAGAGUUUAGGAAACGAAGUAUUGUGUUAAUAAUGAGGAUAUGCUGGAGUAUACAAAUUAGUAAAAAUUAGGUAAAUUAUACUGAUAAAUUACACCUCCCUGAGAUAUGAGAUUUCAAUGAUGAAAUCGUCUCGCAUUAACAACAGCCAUGGAACAGAAACAAGAUGAAAGAGCACAUACACCAUCAUAUCAAAAAGAGAGAGAGAUCUAAUUCAACAUGAGUGCAUGCAUAAAGAAAACAGAUCCAACUGUGUAUCCCUCACUUUAUCAUGUGUAUAUAUUGAUAGUAGCAAACCUGUUGUUGUAUGUGAAAGAAACAAAAGUGGACAAAACAAAAGAAAGAAAAAUCAAAAAGAGAUAAACUUAUGAUGUAUGCGCUUAAAUCGACAUUCUUAUGAUAUAUGCGCUUAUAUCGACAUCCGUAUGAUGUAAGCGCUUACCUUGGCAGGACAUUCAAAU